This 208-nucleotide ribosomal RNA is filed under the name uncultured bacterium. RNAcentral's name for it is "partial 16S ribosomal RNA". It matches the Rfam family "Bacterial small subunit ribosomal RNA", at positions 568 to 775 of the family's 1533-position model. The record is from RNAcentral.
CAUGUAGGCGGUUGUUUAAGUCUGAUGUGAAAGCCCUGGGCUCAACCCAGGAAGUGCAUUGGAUACUGGGCAACUUGAGUACGGGAGAGGAAAGUGGAAUUUCGAGUGUAGGGGUGAAAUCCGUAGAUAUUCGAAGGAACACCAGUGGCGAAGGCGGCUUUCUGGACCGAUACUGACGCUGAGAUGCGAAAGCGUGGGGAGCAAAACA